This 987-nucleotide unclassified non-coding RNA is filed under the name Hevea brasiliensis (rubber tree). The record is from RNAcentral. Lineage: Eukaryota; Viridiplantae; Streptophyta; Magnoliopsida; Malpighiales; Euphorbiaceae.
AAGAAGGUUUGGAUGCUGGGAACUCAUCUGAGUACUCAAACUUGAAGUGCCCCAUGUGCCGAGGAGCUGUGCUAGGCUUGGAAGUUAUAGAAGAAGCAAGAGAAUAUCUUAAUCUAAAGAAACGAAGUUGCUCCCGCGAAACUUGCUCGUUCUCUGGCAACUAUCAAGAACUACGUAGGCAUGCUAGAAGAGUUCACCCGAUGUCACGGCCUUCUGUCAUAGACCCAUCUAGAGAACGGGCAUGGCGACGCUUGGAGAGACAGCGAGAAGUUGGUGAUGUUGUCAGUGCCAUUCGCUCAGCCAUGCCUGGUGCCCUCGUGGUUGGAGACUACGUCAUUGAAAAUGGAGAUGGUAUAGUGGCAGGUGAAAGAGACAAUGGCACAGGUGAUGUCAAUGGGCCAUUGCUGACUAGUUUCUUUCUGUUUCAUAUGUUUGGAUCGGUUGAUGGGGCUCGGGAGCCAAGGCCACGUUCAAGGUCUUGGGUUAGGCAUCGACGCUCUGGAGGUGGGACACCUGUACCAGAGCGCCGGUUCCUUUGGGGUGAAAACCUUUUGGGAUUACAAGAAGAGGCAGACGAAGAUUACCGCAUAUACAUCGGUAUGGGCGAAGAUGCAUCACCACCUACAAGAAGGAGACGUGUAACCAGGCCUGGAUCUGAUGCAGAUCAACCAUGAGAGGAUUCAUCUUCUGUGGCGGGCAUCCCAGCAUUGAUCCAUUGUGUGGGGUCGUCUGGAACAUCAAGAAAUACGUGCUUCCCAAUUCUCAAGGGUUCAGUUGGCCAUCGUCUUGAUGCAAGUACACAGCCCGCAUUUGGCUCACACAGGAAGCAAGGAGAGGGAAGACCCGAUGAGAUGAAUAAGCGUCAUCUUUUCGAAGUUCUCAGAUGGAAUCAUAAUCCUUUUGCUUUAUUUUAUUCGAAUUUAAGGUGUAUGAUUGUAAGUCUCUGCCUAACCUUUGUAUAUAAUGGGAUGAUGAUUUCAUUUGUUU